GUAUAAUGGCGGCGUUUUGGUGCCCGCGGUCGUGUCCACGACCGCAGUUAAACGGGAAACACGAAGCCCUUCAACAAGGCCAACGUGUGCUGCCCCCGCAACGGUAAGCAAGUGCCGCGCUCGAUGUUCGGGCUACGCGGCAAACCGUCUUCCAUGACCACUGUGCGAACGCAUGGGAAGGUCGGACGGCCACACUUGCCAGCCCGGAUACCGGCCAAAAGGUGGGAGCGUGC
Molecule: non-coding RNA, 233 nt
Filed under: Massilia sp.
Lineage: Bacteria; Pseudomonadati; Pseudomonadota; Betaproteobacteria; Burkholderiales; Oxalobacteraceae
Source: RNAcentral